AAGAAAAAAAAAACUCCACCGCUUCGACCUCCUCCCCAUCGCCGCCAGCGCCAUCCUUGUCCUAGGGCCGCCGCCGUCCUCCCCCUUCCUGGCCACGUCUGGCGCCGCCUCCUCCUCCUUUUCUGUUUCCGCUCCAGCGCGGUGCUUGGCUGCGUCAAUACGCGCUAGGAUGGGUCCUCCUCAAGCCCAGGGCGAGGGUAGGGUUCAACACGGCAGGCAUGGCGAACGCAGCUGCCGCUACCGAUGAUCUCCGGCAGCCGUGAAGGCCGAGGCCGGGCACGCAGCUGUGCUCCGGAUCCAAGAACCGUGGCCCGAGCCGCCGGUGGUGAUCGCGCACGAGUUGCCCAGCACGAUCCGUGCCCACGUCCUGCAGGUGCCCCCGGGGUGUGACGUGCUGUCGUGCGUGGCGGCUUUCGCGCGGUGCAGGCGCCGCGGCGCGCUGGUUCGGGGCGUGACCGGGCGCGUCGCAGACGCCGUGAUCUGCAGGGAGCCCUUGCCGCUGGAGCUCCGAGCCAUGGCCGAGAUCCUGGGGACUGGCAGGGCUCUUCUUCCCGUCUUCUGGCUCGCUGGUGGGCGUGGCGGUCUUCCUGGCCAGGGUUGCGGGGCGCCGUGCUGGUCGGUGGCGUCCGGCCGCAGGGCCGGUUGUGGUCAUGCUGGCUACGUUUGUCGCGGGCCGCGUUCGAUCGGUUGUGUUGUUGAUGGGUUCCAUAACCGUCGGCCUCCUUUUCCUCUCUUAGCCCGUCCCCUACCUACGGACUCUCGCCGAUUUCUACCACCGCUGUUCAGCCUCCGUGCGACGCAGCAGUUCGUCGUCUCCACUUGCCCGGCCGGUCAGCCCCGUGGCGCUGCCAGGGACAAAUGGCCCAUGUUGUCCGGCCACCGCCUCCGCGUGUUUCCUAGGCGACCCGCCCGUGCUGUGUCGUGACCCAGCGUCCUGUUGGCCGGUGCGUCACCGUCGCACGUCCCAGCAGCACUCGACGCUGCUUCUUCUCUCUUGCGUUCUGUUGUUCCUCCACUUCGUCCCUCUCUCGCCUGUUCCCUGCGACGAAGACGACGGAAAGCGCCGCGGCUGAAGCCUUGCCAGUUAAGGAGUAAGAGUCGCGAACGGGCCAACGAGGUGGUCCAGGGAUGAUAUGGUCGAGGUGCUCGGCCUGAACAAGCUUCGAGGGGCCAACCAUGCCUUUGUCGACGCCAUGAUAUGGUUCCUCGCGCUCCUGCGUGCCAUUCCGGACAGCAGUCCUCGCCGAUGCCUACCUCUGCAUGCUGCAGGUCAGCUCCCUGAGCCUGCAACUACGACAUGGUGUGACACUAUCUCAAAACUUCAGAUUUGGUGCAGUUCCAAUGGAGCGUCCACUACCAAGGCCAAGGUGUUCAUUCAUUGGAAGAAAAGAUAAUAAGAACUUCAUAUUCAGGGGUUAUAUUUUGGCAACCUCUAGCAAGGAUUCCACUUGAGGCUUUGACAGAAGCACCAUGAUUGCAACAGACAACUCCAUCCCAUCUAACGUGGAUACCUCGAGGCCUUCCUCCAUCUGCAGGUGUUCCUUUCAAUCAGUCUGAUCCCUCGACCAUACAAGCUCUUGCUUAAAUGAGCCUCAGGUGCAAAUCAACUUUUGUGUAAAUUGAUGAUUUUCAGUAGUUCAUCUUGAGUUUAUUUGUUUUUUUGACAUGAAAAUAGGUUCAGUAAAUUUACUUCUGAUAAAAAUUGCAUGUUUGUGUUGGUUUCAACAGAGGUAGUGUUUUGCUGAAAGAGAUCUUUACUUCUUCAUUACAACCCACAAGGCAUCUGUGCAGUUCUUAAAAAUACUGAAUAUGAUAGGUGCACACUUAUUAUGCUUCGAAGCAUCCAACAAACAAAGAUACCGAUGCAACAGAGCAACCAACUGAAAUCACACCCGUGGCUGAUAUCUCCUUUACUUGUAAUUGUUUGUUCUUCUUUAGUAUGGAUUUAUUAUUGUUUUCUUUCCAUGAAGAUCUCAUUUUAUACUAUUUCAAAUUUGAUACUGUAUUUCGUAUGGAGGGCACAUCUAAAUUCAGUUGAUGGGUUUAUAAUAUUUUGCCAAAGCUAAGACCAGGUGAUCUUUCUUCUAUAAACUAUUUUUUCUUGAGAUCAUGAUCUGGCGUUUCUAUAUUUAUUCAGGUAUCUAUUUUGCUUAGUUUCCAGUUUUUUAAAUGUUGUCAAAUCAUUAGCUAAAAUAGCUGGCUGCUAGACUAAGAUUGCAUGCCAAUAGUGUUCAUCCAUAAUUUCACUUUUUUCUUACUUACUACAGUACUACAGAAUUCAUAGCACACAUGUACUUCCCUAUAAGCAGUUCGGCAAAGUAAUAGGGAUAUAUAUUAAUCUGCAUUUGCUUUGCCCUGCUCUCCCUGGAAACAGUCUUCUGUUUUUAGCAACCAAUCCGCAGGUUCACAACUUCACAUAUAGAUGGACAUGCAUUUCAGUAUUUGACCAUUGUCUUGCUCAAUUGUGGCAAUUGGCCAUUUUUUCCUUCUGAUUUAUCAAUUUGAGAUCUCUCAUCUUACAUCGAGAGAACAUACCCAAUUCUUCUGUCCUUUGAUUUUAUCUUUUGUUUUGUUUAUGCAUGAGAGAUCUCUGGAUUUUAUGUUUCCACCUACAAAAUGGUUGAAAAGAGUUGGAAUUCAUUAUUUGUCAACAUAUGAGAGUCACAAAUUCAAUUUUUGUCAGAUAUGUGCCAGACAAAUUCACGCCAUGUUUUUGGGCUAAAAGUUCAUAAACUGAAUAUUCAGAUUUGAUCUUCCUUUCUGUUAAAAAAAGAAAGAUUUGAUAUUCCUUCUGUCAUUCUAUCCUAAAGAUCUGAAAGAGCGGAGCGGGAAGCUUAAUAUUUUGUGGUAACCCAGGUGAUAUUGUUGAACUUCCCCGUUUAGAUGAGGCCUACAGUGCCAGUUUUCUAUUCUGGUCCAAGAAAUCCUAGCUCUCACUUACUAGGAUGAUACUUGGUAGUUGGUUGUGUAAAUGGUGAACUCCAGGCUUUAGCUCCUCUAAGAUGAAGCUUGCAGUGCCUGUAUUUUAUUGGUCUCCGAGAAAUCCUAGCUCUGCCUGAUGAGAUCGGUACUUGGUCCUAUAAAUGGAGAACUCCAGGUUUUAGCACCUAAGUUAUAUAGAGUUCCCAAUGGAAUAUCAUCCAUGUAAGUUCUCAUUUGUUAUGGACAUCAUGUAGUUAACUCAACGCAGUUUAUAUGUGGCUUUUGCUUAUGGAUAGGGUUAAUACAAGAGCCCUGCUGUAGCACAUAAUUUAUUUUUGGAAGAUUAUUUGGCUUUUGCUUAUGAGGGAUCCCUGCUGUACCACAUGUAUUGUGCAACGAACUCAAAUUUGAGACAAAAGAUCAUUUGUUCUUUCAAUAUUGGAGAUGCUGCAAAUAUCUUUCCUUUGGUUUCACAGCUACAGACUGUAUCUAGGCCUGGAGUAGCAACGCUGCGUAAACGGAUGGUAUUUGGAUAAACAAUUUAGAUGCUUUGUAAACUGCAACGGAGAAGAUAUUUUCUGUUUAUAAUUUUCACAGCACUUGGGACAUGACGAGAUGGAGGGUCAUAGUACUACAUGAGUUAUUAUGGACAAUUCUACAUUGCCGUACCAAGAGUGACAUCCAAGGAAAGAUUAAAUAUACUUGCACUAGAUGAAAAUGAUGCAUCAACUACCAAGCUUAGAAAUUUGGUGUACCAAAUAGUACUUGAUUUGUUCAUCAUUUGAAAUAGUGCUCACCUUUACCUAUUCAGGUUAUAACUUCAGGUAUGCUCACACAACUUCCUGCAAUUUAGAGGUCUAUACAGAUUUAUAUUCAGUUACUUCAAUCCUCCAUAUGCAAAUUUUGACACUUGGCUCUUUUUACAGCUCUUACUCUGCAUUCUUGCUCUCUCUUUCAUGAAACUCUUUUGAUGAAAUUAAACAUAUCUGUGACAUCUCAUCUAUUUUGCUUAUUGAGUUUAUGUUUUCCUUCUAUGUGAUACUUGUGUCCCUUAAACUUUGUAAAAUACAUGUUACUUCAUUGGUGUGGCAGACUAUGUUUUCCACUAUCUAUAAAUAAUGUGAGAACUUUAACAUGCCAAUGUUUUCACUUAUUUAGAGCACAGUUAAGGAUGCACAACUUCAGGGAGUUCAAUUCGAUUAGCUUUUUGAACUGUAUAAACACCAUUGCUUGGCAGCCAUCGUUUCAAUCCUCCCAUUCCCUGCUACUAAAUAGAUGCCACAAUCCAGUUAAGAUAACAUCGGCAUUUCAACAACACAUCACAGGCUUCCUCAGAAUAUUGUGUGCGGCAGUACCGCCGUUAAACCGUGGGGCGCAUGGGUGACAGAGUGAAGGGCCGAAUAUUCAUCGAGCACAAAUGGGCAUUAUCUGCUGAAGCGAACGGCGCAGGCAGCAUUUGCUGAAGCGAACGGCGUGGCUAAAGGUGACCCUCUAAUCUUCAUAUAUCUCUAGAUCCAUGUUGAAGGUAUCCUUCCUAAGCGGCAACGAAUGUGAGAAUAGGUCAGUCAUGUCUUAUGAGCUACUUCAUCAGAGCAAUAAAAUGACUUGAGUGUGUUAUUACCCACCGAUGCAGCGGAUAAAACAGAUAAGUUGCUUAUUAAAACAGAUAAGCCCAGGAAAAAACUGAUCUAUCCUUAUUUAUUUUGCGAGAGAACUGAAUAGUUGCUUACUGGUAAGUUGCUUUAAUUAUUUACCCUUUUCCAUUGGCCCUUCCUGUCUUGCUGCAUCCCAUUUCACUUCUUAGUUUUUGAAAAGGGGUGGCUAGAUGCCACAUAAGGAACAUUAAAUCGUAUACUUAUUUGGAUAGUAGAGAAACAAAUCAAAAAUUAUUUUGCUCCACUUUCCUUUUUCAGGAGCUUCACAGUUAUAAAAUGCCAACUAAGCUAAGAGGAAGCACUUUUACAAGCUAGAAAAGCAUGAAAAAUAAAGCUAUCCCAUGAAUGUUGAGAUGAAUACAAGAGUUGAUUUGAUAUAUUCAGACUGCAGUGCAUGGAAACUGAUCUCAAAACAUGGAUUUAUGAUCUGCAUUUUAUUUAGUACAACGAUGCAUUCUUAACUCUACUUUUGAAUGAUUUUAAAGUACGACUGCUACCAGGAUACUAUGAUAUCACCCUUCAUGAGGAAGACGUAUAUGUUCAAGAGCAUGACUGAAUAUAAUUAAGAGG
Lolium perenne is the source of this 5147-nucleotide long non-coding RNA. RefSeq lists it as uncharacterized. NCBI's taxonomy places the organism in Eukaryota, Viridiplantae, Streptophyta, Magnoliopsida, Poales, Poaceae. The record is from RefSeq and is a predicted model, not a curated record.